Molecule: ribosomal RNA, 408 nt
Filed under: Fusobacteriota bacterium
Lineage: Bacteria; Fusobacteriati; Fusobacteriota
Description: Fusobacteria bacterium partial 16S ribosomal RNA
Rfam family: Bacterial small subunit ribosomal RNA
Source: RNAcentral
UGGGGAAUAUUGCACAAUGGACGGAAGUCUGAUGCAGCAACGCCGCGUGCGGGAUGACGGCCUUCGGGUUGUAAACCGCUUUUUCUCAUGACGAAGUUUUUUGACGGUAGUGGGGGAAGAAGCACCGGCUAACUACGUGCCAGCAGCCGCGGUGAUACGUAGGGUGCGAGCGUUGUCCGGAAUUAUUGGGCGUAAAGAGCUUGUAGGCGGUUUGUCGCGUCGAUAGUGCAAACUCAGUGCUUAACGCUGAGCCUGCUGUUGAUACGGGCAGACUAGAGGAAGGUAGGGGAGAAUGGAAUUCCCGGUGGAGCGGUGGAAUGCGCAGAUAUCGGGAGGAACACCGGUGGCGAAAGCGGUUCUCUGGGCCUUUCCUGACGCUGAGAAGCGAAAGCGUGGGGAGCGAACAGG